CAAGAAAUAGUUUAUUAAAAAUAUUAGCUUUGGGAGUUAAUGAAAAAGAAUUUCUUUUUUCUUGA
Anopheles marshallii is the source of this 65-nucleotide non-coding RNA. The record is from the annotation of a RefSeq genome assembly. Lineage: Eukaryota; Metazoa; Arthropoda; Insecta; Diptera; Culicidae.